Molecule: RNA transcript, 2204 nt
Organism: Andrographis paniculata
Lineage: Eukaryota; Viridiplantae; Streptophyta; Magnoliopsida; Lamiales; Acanthaceae
Exons: 5
Source: RefSeq, a predicted model, not a curated record
CGCCAUUCAACGGCAACAGCGCAGAACUGAGAGUCAGGAGACAGCGGAACUCUGGAGGGGACAAAAAUGGCGGUGAAAUCUUUAGCACGCAAAUCUCUCUGCUUCCUGUCCAAGUCUCCAUCCCUAGCGCCGUCCUGUGCUCAUGGUCGCCUCGCAUUUAGGAGUUCUAGAUAUUUGAAUAUUUGCGAGAAGAAUUUUCCGGUUGCUUUUGGAAGCUGGAACUCGCGGCAUUGGGGAAUAGGUGCUAGAAGGUGUGACGUCGGGGGUAUUCAGUGGAUUCACUCGGGUCGGGUUAUGGGAAAUGUGGAGCGACCUAUGGAGCAGGGUGGUGAGGGUGAGGUAAACAAGAGGAAGAAACUGAAGGGAAAGAGGGCGAUGGUGAGGUGGUUGAAGCAUUUCAGGUGGAAGAAGAAGACGACUUAUGAAAGAAUGACUCCUGAAGAAAAAAUCCUCUACAAGUUGGGGAAGGCUAGAAGAAAAGAACAGAGGUUAACUGAAGCUCUUGAAAAAAUCAUACCUAAACACACUUCCGAAACCACCCAUGAUCCCGAGAUAUUGACUCCCGAAGAACACUUCUACUUUUUGAAGAUGGGAGAGAAGUGCAAGAAUUAUGUCCCAGUUGGGAGACGCGGGAUAUAUCAGGGUGUCAUAUUGAACAUGCACUUGCAUUGGAAGAAGCACCAGACUUUGAAAGUCAUCGUGAAGACUUUCUCUCCCAAGGAGGUGGAGGGCAUCGCUUCAGAGCUAGCGAGGUUGAGUGGUGGGAUUGUGCUCGAUAUUCAGGAUCACAACACGAUUAUCAUGUAUCGAGGGAAGAACUACUCCCAGCCCCCUACAGAGAUAAUGUCUCCAAGGAUAACCCUAUCCAGGAAGAAGGCUUUGGACAAAUCCAAGUAUAGGGAUGCUCUAAGGGCUAUUCGGAGAUAUAUCCCAAAACUUGAGCAAGAUCUGGAGCUGCUUCGAGCUCAGGCCGAAAGAAAAAUUGGUGUGAAUGAAGAAAAACAUACGGCCGACGAAAAUUUGGAAAGCCACUCUAGCCAAGUUUUGGAGGGAUCCGAAAGGCUGAGAGAACUACUGGCUAAAAGUGACAUAACUGAUGACUAUAAUUCAAGUGCAGAUUCUGAUCUGAUUUCAGAUUCUGAGUCUCUAUCCGAUAUUUUUGAGAUGGAUUCAGAAGCUGAGAAUGAGGAGAAACCCGAAAAGCCUCUUUACCUUGAUGAGUUGGAUAAGAUUCAAGUGCAUGACAACGGACAGGAUUUUGAAGAACACCUGCGUCAAAUAUCAGCCGAUUCCAGAACACAAAGGAUGUCUGAAAAAGAUGGGGAGGAAUCGCAAGACCUUGAUGAGGUUGAUCGACUGGUUUUGCGGGCUGCUUCACUUUUGAAGAAAAAGAGGAAAUAAAUAGGUGCCCUUUGCGUAUAUUGGAUGAUGGAAAUUCUCUACUUGUUGUCUGUAUGCUAAACUGAUUUCUGGAGCAUUAAUCAUCAUUUGAGCGAGGCAAAGCUUCGAUGGAUAAAAUUCUGCAACAAAGCCUGCCUACAUUACUUGAUGAGCAAAAAGAGUUAUUCCUCUGGUUUUUCAAACUUAUCCCAAAUGUGGAGACGAUUAUACCAAGUAAGAGGUGAAGCUGUAGCUCCCCAAUAUAUGGUUGCAGUUUAUGGGAUCACACAUCUUAAAGACAUCUCAUCUGGAUUACUGGAGGAAUACAAUUUAGGAACAGCGGAUACUUGCAAGAAGCUAAUCAGAUCAUUGAAUAGCUCUACUUAUCCUAUCUGCGGAGAUCGGUCUGAAUCCAUCCUUCAUGUGGUUGCAGAUUGUCCUCAGGUAACACCGAUACGUUAUCUUUUUUAACAUCCGGCAAAUUACAAAGCUUUUUACAUUAUGUAUAUAUAUAACUUGUGCCCGGCUCAUGUUUUAUCAAAUUGUCAUUGUUUCUUCAAUGUCCAAAACCACCAUAGUAUAGACUACAUUUUGUAGGCAGUAGCACAAUUUCCUCAGCUAAUUAAUUGUAUGCAUAAUGUUAGAUAACUAACCUAGAUCUCACUUGUCUGUUAUACUUCUUACAAUUUUGGGAAACAAAGCUUGAAAGAACAAUAAAAAGCCAUUAAUGUUUAGGGAUGUCAAUGGGCCGAAGAAUUGUGAAUUGAAAAAAAUAGUAAGUUGAAAGAUAGUACUACAAUAUAGUUAAGCUUGUGAAAAAUUGA